RNAcentral lists this long non-coding RNA (2648 nucleotides) under Triticum aestivum (bread wheat). RNAcentral describes it as "long non-coding RNA (TAES_LNC016360)". The record is from RNAcentral. Lineage: Eukaryota; Viridiplantae; Streptophyta; Magnoliopsida; Poales; Poaceae.
AUAAGGUGAAUUAUUCUGUACUGCGGCUAAACUAGAUGCUUCACAUGUAGUCAUUUGAGAAAUAUGUGGCGGCGUCCUACUCCUAUCCAUAGAUUCACAUGUAUCUGCUGGUUCCUGCAAACAUGUGUACAAAUAAAUAAUGUAAAAUCUUGUAAUACUAGUUAGCUACUAGCUCAUUUGCAUAAAACCAGUGGUCAUGUCUCUCACCUGACUAAUAAUACCAUCAUACUGAGGGCACAAUACUUUUGUUAUUCCCUCUGCAAUCACUUCUUUGAAAUGAUCAAGCAAUUCUUCCUUUGCAGAGACAUAUAAUUCAUUCUUCAGCCUUGAACAAGAAAGUGAUGUCAAACUGUGUCCUGGGUUGUCAUCAGCUUUCAUUUGCCUGCUAGGUCCAACUCCAGAAGGGUAAUCCAUACCAGAUCGAGGAGCAUCUAUUGGCUGCAAAAUCAUCAAAAGUACCAACAGAUAUCAAAAGCUAAAAACAUAAUAAACAUUUGAUUUUUGUAUACGUCAUACAAUAAGUUAAUUACACCCCGCAAAACCCUUGCCCUCAAUCCCUCACUGCCUUCGCAGACUUCACUGUUUGUAGAAAAUAUGUAUAGGGGUACUAUAUAUGGAGUAUGGAAAACUGUCACCUACUCAAGCCACCUGUGACUGCAAGCCACCUGCUCAACCAUACCUGUGACUGCGAGUCACCUACCAAAGCAUACCCGUGACUGCGACAGUGAGAGUUUCCAUGCUGAAGUAUCAUGCUUUUGUUUCGACAUUUUCAAAUAUAGUAAAUAAAUUCAUUUUAUGAAAAAUGACACAAUCAUGCUUUUCACACCAUGUGCCAGACAUGAUCCCACUUUCGCGCCAAAUCUUUUGAACAGAACAAACAAAUGUAACCAUUAAUUGAUAAAUGGUCCCUCGAAUCUUUUCAUGCCGUCUGGUAGACGAAUAAAUGAAUAUGACCUCAUGUUGAGCACAAAUAAACAACUUUCUACCUUCAUAGGCUAUCACUCCUGUCCGCCUGUUGGGUCGCAAAUAACAGUUAUGGCGGCUUAUUAGAUCAACUUACCCUUGCCUUCUCCAAAUGCACCAACCAACCAACCUUCCAUCCUGUUUGUACUCCUGUUGAUAGAAGUACAAACCAACCGCUUACCCCCUGCCAUCCCACCCUGGACCUGACCAACUUACCCUUGCCUUCUCCAAAUGCACCAACCUUCCCGUCCUCCUCUAUUUCUAACAACACCUUCUCCAUCUUGUUCCCCUAAUCCCCUCCCCGUGACUCCUUCCCUUCUCUCUUGCCACUUCUAUCCCUAGACAUGCUGUUGUACCACUCUAGCUCCCACACCUUCUAAAAAAGAACAGAUCUGGAGAACUACAAACAAACAAAAAGGUCUGAAUUUCUUUCAUAUGUUGCACACGCUUCCUUCCCCUAAUUGGCAAAAAAUAUUCACUGUGCACACAAAAAAAUGACGUUUGGAGUAGUACUAUGUAAAGCUCUAGCCUACUCAAGCAUUUCUGAGGGUGGGUGAGGUUAGUAUGCCAAAUUGCCAGAAAUAGUAAUUUAGUAUCAUUUAUGCUAAAAAAAAUGCCACAAUUGUGUUUUUGGCGCCGUGUACCAUAUCACCCUUUUCGCGCCAAAUCUUGAGUAGAACAAACAAAAGUACCAUAAUCAAUGAACAGUUUCCACAGUCCUUUCCUGCCGCCAGAUAGACGGACAAACGAACAUGGCCCACGUGUCACGCGCAAAAAAACUGCAACCAGCCUUGAUGGGACACCUAACUCUUCACUCGUGUCGAUAGGCAAAUAACGGUCCUGACAGGGUUUCACGUACAAACCAAUAGCUUGCCGCCCCGCCACCUUCAUCCUGACCUUUCCCCUCCUCAGCCUAGACCACAACCCUAUAGCUCUCGCCUUCUCCAAAGCCACCAAUUCUCCCCUCCCUUCCACUGGCUGCCUUCUACAUCUAACUUCCCUCUCUUUCACUGCUUCCUCUUGCCUCUUCCAUCCCUAGACCCAAUGUUCCAUCCCCAUAUCCCUCACGGCUCAUAAAACGAAAAACAAGAAGAAUAACUCGCCAUGGCGAAAGCCGACAUGCAAUCCCUUACAAAGCAGCAUUUCUCACGAGCAAACGCAAACGGAUCAAUCACUCCAGAACCUAAUGCAAAUGAACCCACCGGAGAUCAUAGGUCGCCCUGCAUUAGAGACAGAAACUAAACCCAGCAAGACACGCAGACAUACACACAGCAGAUCGGCGAGCCGCAGGAUACCAGGUACCCUUCCCCUAAAGGCCCGUAGGUCUAAGCCACCACAGGCACCAGCGGAAGCUACAUCUAAAGCGGGGAACAUCCCAACACGGUCACAGCAGCUACGAGGGAAGCUGCGAACCCAGCAAAUUCUAGGGAAUUCAGCAAGAUCGAGCGGCAAGAUGCAGAUCCAGAGCCCAGUCGCAGUGUACAACACGAUUCCACGAGCACGCAUUGCGACUUGCAAGGAAACUAACAGGAUGAGGGGGGGGAUACAUCAACUACAUGACAGAAGGAAAUGGUGAAAUGGAAAGGAACGGGGGGAGGGGCCUCACCGCAGGUGGAUCGGGCUGGGAACGAGCGACCGGAGCAGCCGGUCGCAGGGAGGCAACCGUCGGUGGAGCGGGGAGGAGC